Molecule: ribosomal RNA, 657 nt
Filed under: uncultured bacterium
Lineage: Bacteria
Description: bacterial SSU rRNA
Rfam family: Bacterial small subunit ribosomal RNA
Source: RNAcentral
CAGUCGAGCGAGUCUGCCUUGAAGAUCGGAGUGCUUGCACUCUGUGAAACAAGAUACAGGCUAGCGGCGGACGGGUGAGUAACACGUGGGUAACCUGCCCAAGAGAUCGGGAUAACACCUGGAAACAGAUGCUAAUACCGGAUAACAACAGAUGAUGCCUAUCAACUGUUUAAAAGAUGGUUCUGCUAUCACUCUUGGAUGGACCUGCGGUGCAUUAGCUAGUUGGUAGGGUAACGGCCUACCAAGGCGAUGAUGCAUAGCCGAGUUGAGAGACUGAUCGGCCACAUUGGGACUGAGACACGGCCCAAACUCCUACGGGAGGCAGCAGUAGGGAAUCUUCCACAAUGGACGCAAGUCUGAUGGAGCAACGCCGCGUGAGUGAAGAAGGGUUUCGGCUCGUAAAGCUCUGUUGUUGGUGAAGAAGGACGGGGGUAGUAACUGACCUUUGUUUGACGGUAAUCAAUUAGAAAGUCACGGCUAACUACGUGCCAGCAGCCGCGGUAAUACGUAGGUGGCAAGCGUUGUCCGGAUUUAUUGGGCGUAAAGCGAGUGCAGGCGGUUCGAUAAGUCUGAUGUGAAAGCCUUCGGCUCAACCGGAGAAUUGCAUCAGAAACUGUCGAGCUUNNNNACAGAAGAGGAGAGUGGAACUCCAUGUGU